This 521-nucleotide ribosomal RNA is filed under the name uncultured Glomus. Its description in RNAcentral is "SSU rRNA". It matches the Rfam family "Eukaryotic small subunit ribosomal RNA", at positions 569 to 1092 of the family's 1831-position model. Lineage: Eukaryota; Fungi; Glomeromycota; Glomeromycetes; Glomerales; Glomeraceae. The record is from RNAcentral.
AGCAGCCGCGGUAAUUCCAGCUCCAAUAGCGUAUAUUAAAGUUGUUGCAGUUAAAAAGCUCGUAGUUGAAUUUCGGGGUCAGUAGGUCGGUCGUGCCAACGGUAUGAACUGGUCUCACUGAUUCCUCCCUCUUGUAGAACCGUGAUGCCAUUAACUUGGUGUUGCGGGGAAACAGGACUGUUACUUUGAAAAAAUUAGAGUGUUUAAAGCAAGCUAACGCUUGAAUACAUUAGCAUGGAAUAAUGAAAUAGGACGUCGAUCUUAUUUUGUUGGUUUCUAGGGUUGACGUAAUGAUUAAUAGGGAUAGUUGGGGGCAUUAGUAUUCAAUUGUCAGAGGUGAAAUUCUUGGAUUUAUUGAAGACUAACUACUGCGAAAGCAUUUGCCAAGGAUGUUUUCAUUAAUCAAGAACGAAAGUUAGGGGAUCGAAGACGAUCAGAUACCGUCGUAGUCUUAACCAUAAACUAUGCCGACUAGGGAUCGGAUGAUGUUAAUUUUUUAAUGACUCAUUCGGCGCCUUACG